RNAcentral lists this ribosomal RNA (440 nucleotides) under uncultured bacterium. RNAcentral describes it as "partial 16S ribosomal RNA". It matches the Rfam family "Bacterial small subunit ribosomal RNA", at positions 338 to 795 of the family's 1533-position model. The record is from RNAcentral.
CCUACGGGAGGCAGCAGUGGGGAAUAUUGCACAAUGGGGGAAACCCUGAUGCAGCGACGCCGCGUGAGUGAAGAAGUAUUUCGGUAUGUAAAGCUCUAUCAGCAGGGAAGAAAAUGACGGUACCUGAUGAAGAAGCCCCGGCUAAAUACGUGCCAGCAGCCGCGGUAAUACGUCGGGGGCAAGCGGUAACCGGAUUUACUGGGGGUAAAGGGAGCGUAGACGGCAGCACAAGUCUGGAGUGAAAUGCCCGGGCUUAACCCUGGAACUGCUUUGGAAACUGUGCAGCUAGAGUGCAGGAGAGGUAAGUGGAAUGCGUAGUGUAGCGGUGAAAUGCGUAGAUAUUAGGAGGAACACCAGUGGCGAAGGCGGCUUACUGGACUGUAACUGACGUUGAAGCUCGAAAGCGUGGGGAGCGAACAGGAUUAGAUACCCGUGUAGUC